Molecule: long non-coding RNA, 2052 nt
Organism: Cyprinus carpio (common carp)
Lineage: Eukaryota; Metazoa; Chordata; Actinopteri; Cypriniformes; Cyprinidae
Source: Ensembl
UGGCAGUUGGAGAGAAAGGGACUGUUGGUGCGUCUGUGUAGUCGGCUGCCUCUUUCCUCUCUAGACUGUUAAUCCUAUUUGGUGUGUGCAGUGAAAAUGGCUGUCAAUAGUUUAAGCUGAUAAGCGAGAGAGGCAAAGGGUUUAACCACAGACCUCCAAACAGAGUCUGGUCUCCACAGAGAAGGGAUAGAGUACUUUCAUUCCCUCCUUUUUCCCUUUUUCCUCUCUCUCUCUCACUUACUGUCUCAUUCCUCCUGCUCUCCGAAUCAUUCCAGCAUUGCAAAGAAGCUCAGGGUGAACAGAAAAUCUCGUUUUUUAAUAGAGGCAUUUUCAAGAGGGCACCAACAGCAAAGCUGAGGGGGUCGGCAUUCGAGGGCGAUUUGUUUCUUUGUGAAGUUGGCGUGAUUGAAGUGUGGAACCGGAGCAGGAGCACCAGAGAAAGCGGCAAAAAUUGCAGACACCCAAGAGAACAGAGACCAGAAUAUCACACGGACGCAAACAAAAACACCAAAGUCAUCAAUAAAUAACUGUGACUGUGGCGCUUUGAGACCGUGUGAGCGGGAUGAUCUGUGCUUGGGCUAAACUGUCCUUGGGAACUACGCCACGCUCCCCAUCAGCCAGCCCUGACAGAGCUGGCAGUGCUCCGCACGGGCAGCAUUUUGGAGAGUCGCCGUCGAGAGGAAAGCAGGAAACGGAGAGAAGGGAUGAAAAAACAAGAAAGAAAGCAUAAAAUGAGAUCAAGUCUUUGUGUUUGUUGGAGCGGUCAGGAUGUACAGUAGCUGCUAAAUAAGAGAUGGAUAACAAAGAUUAGAACAAGUAAGUGAAAGAAAGACACCAUCACAAAUGGAUUCAGGAUGGAUUAGGUUCUGCAUGCACUGCAUUAGAACACAGCACAGGUUGGCAAAUAUCCUAAUAUUGUCUAAUUCGCAAUUUAGCAGAGACUUUUAUUCAAAGGUAUUUACUGAAUUAACAGAUAAGCAACUUUCUUUGUCAAGGGCAACUGAAAAAUAGCAGGAUGCCAGUAUAUUCAUCCCUCAAAACCUUCGGGUUGAACCUCCGACCUAAAUACUGGAAGUCUCAAGGAACUACAGUUACUUCUACUGUGAUGUUGCAAAGCUUUUGCAAUAUGGAGGUCUGUUUCCACCUCAGAGUAAAAGAUAAGAAAAGUUAAUUGUGAAAUUAGAGUUUAUUUCUUAUCUUAAAGUGAAAAUCGAGAGACAUAACGUCGCAAUUACUCAGUUUCCACUUGCAAAACCCAAGUUUUACAGUAAAAUUGUAAUGCAAUGUCAAUCCAUUUAAAGUUUUUCCACUCUAUGUAGUAAGGUAAUGGACAUUUAACAAAUUAACAGGUUGUGCUCUAGCAUUUUAGGUUUUUUUUCUGUAAAAAAAUUAUAAACAUUAUGAUAUCCAGUGCAUUAUUGCAGCAUCAUUGCUUUUUGAUGUUAAUUUGAUUUAAUAGGUAACGUCCAUUAUUGUUCAGACUGACAGUCUAUUUCAAAUGAUUCAUUCAGUUCAAGUAUUUCACAUAAUGGACAGCAUAUUGUAUAUUUUUUUAGGGGGGUAGGUGAAGAAAAAUGCUCUUAUAUAAAAUAUGUGCCUGAAAAACAAUUUCAGGGCACAAAUAUUGACCCUUAAUAGUUUAUUUCCGACCCUGGUCAGGUCUAAUUCAGUCUUGAUUCCUCUUCCUACUGCUCUUCUAAAAAGUCAAAAUCUCCAAUAAGCUAUCAGCUCUAUAUGUACUGUAUAUCCACAUCUGUGCAACUGCUGACAUUAAUUUACAUCAGCUGCAGACUGAGAUCGGCUUGUUCCAUUUCACAGGAGCGUGGAAAAUGCCAUGCUUGACAGAGAGCGCAUGUAGUCUAUGUCCCUGUAGUGUCUAAGGAAAGCAUGACAAUUACUAUUGCUCAGACUAAAGGUUAGGGAUUUGGGAAAAGCCUUAGAUAAAAGACAGUACACCCAAAAACAUUUAUUUUCAACAUUGUUGGUAAGGAAACAGUUUUGGUUUAGUUCACUUCCACUGUACGAAAAAUAAAAACACUGACACAUUUCUCA